GUCUCUGUGGCGCAAUCGGUUAGCAGGUUCGGCUGUUUACUUAAAAUUUGGUGGUUCAAGCCCACCCAGGGACG
Danio rerio (zebrafish) is the source of this 74-nucleotide non-coding RNA. The record is from Rfam. NCBI's taxonomy places the organism in Eukaryota, Metazoa, Chordata, Actinopteri, Cypriniformes, Danionidae.